AGCAGCCGCGGUAAUUCCAGCUCCAAUAGCGUAUAUUAAAGUUGUUGCAGUUAAAAAGCUCGUAGUUGAAUUUCGGGAUCAGUACGCCGGUCGUGCCUUCGGUAUGCACUGGUGUCACUGGUUUCUCCCUUCUGAAGAACCAUCAUGCCAUUCAGUUGGUGUGGCGGGGAAUCAGGACUGUUACUUUGAGAAAAUUAGAGUGUUUAAAGCAGGCUCGCGCUUGAAUACAUUAGCAUGGAAUAAUGAAAUAGGACGUUUGACCCUAUUUUGUUGGUUUCUAGGAUCGACGUAAUGAUUAAUAGGGAUAGUUGGGGGCAUUAGUAUUCAAUUGUCAGAGGUGAAACUCUUGGAUUUAUUGAAGACUAACUACUGCGAAAGCAUUUGCCAAGGAUGUUUUCAUUAAUCAAGAACGAAAGUUAGGGGAUCGAAGACGAUCAGAUACCGUCGUAGUCUUAACCAUAAACUAUGCCGACUAGGGAUCGGAUGAUGUUAAUUUUUUAAUGACUCAUUCC
RNAcentral lists this unclassified non-coding RNA (512 nucleotides) under uncultured Glomus. RNAcentral's name for it is "SSU rRNA". It matches the Rfam family "Eukaryotic small subunit ribosomal RNA", at positions 569 to 1082 of the family's 1831-position model. Lineage: Eukaryota; Fungi; Glomeromycota; Glomeromycetes; Glomerales; Glomeraceae. The record is from RNAcentral.